Molecule: small RNA, 249 nt
Filed under: Bacillus gobiensis
Lineage: Bacteria; Bacillati; Bacillota; Bacilli; Caryophanales; Bacillaceae
Description: BsrG
Rfam family: BsrG
About the family: bsrE, bsrG and bsrH pair through intermolecular interactions with antisense sRNAs. SR4 interaction with the 3'UTR of bsrG RNA promotes bsrG degradation and inhibits its translation.
Source: Rfam by way of RNAcentral
GCAUUUGCAUUAUUCGUUCUAUGGGUGGUCGGCUAACCCUUUGCAAAGGGGGUGAUGCCUAGUGACAGUAUUCGAGAGUUUAACGAUUGCAAUUUCUUUUGCGACGCUUCUCAUUGCUGUUCUUUCAUUUCACGAUAAAAAAUAGACCUCCCUUGUCCGGAAAAUGAGGGAGAGGUCUAUUGAUUUGGAUGGCCGAUCCCGUCAUUAGGACAAGAUGCAAAUGCCGCCGCAAGUGCCCCAGCGCUUGCG